AGUUUAUGAGCUUGAACAAGCAUAUGUUUUGAAAACAUAAGAUAGAAACAACCCUUUCUAUAAACUU
Molecule: transfer RNA, 67 nt
Filed under: Tetanops sintenisi
Lineage: Eukaryota; Metazoa; Arthropoda; Insecta; Diptera; Ulidiidae
Description: tRNA-Ser
Source: RNAcentral